ACGGGUGAGUAACACGUGAGCAAUCUGCCCCUGACUCUGGGAUAAGCGCUGGAAACGGCGUCUAAUACCGGAUACGAGCUGCGAAGGCAUCUUCAGCAGCUGGAAAGAAUUUCGGUCAGGGAUGAGCUCGCGGCCUAUCAGCUUGUUGGUGAGGUAACGGCUCACCAAGGCGUCGACGGGUAGCCGGCCUGAGAGGGUGACCGGCCACACUGGGACUGAGACACGGCCCAGACUCCUACGGGAGGCAGCAGUGGGGAAUAUUGCACAAUGGGCGAAAGCCUGAUGCAGCAACGCCGCGUGAGGGACGACGGCCUUCGGGUUGUAAACCUCUUUUAGCAGGGAAGAAGCGAAAGUGACGGUACCUGCAGAAAAAGCACCGGCUAACUACGUGCCAGCAGCCGCGGUAAUACGUAGGGUGCAAGCGUUAUCCGGAAUUAUUGGGCGUAAAGAGCUCGUAGGCGGUUUGUCGCGUCUGCUGUGAAAACCCGAGGCUCAACCUCGGGCCUGCAGUGGGUACGGGCAGACUAGAGUGCGGUAGGGGAGAUUGGAAUUCCUGGUGUAGCGGUGGAAUGCGCAGAUAUCAGGAGGAACACCGAUGGCGAAGGCAGAUCUCUGGGCCGUAACUGACGCUGAGGAGCGAAAGGGUGGGGAGCAAACAGGCUUAGAUAC
Molecule: ribosomal RNA, 669 nt
Filed under: Microbacterium sp.
Lineage: Bacteria; Bacillati; Actinomycetota; Actinomycetes; Micrococcales; Microbacteriaceae
Description: bacterial SSU rRNA
Rfam family: Bacterial small subunit ribosomal RNA
Source: RNAcentral